This 72-nucleotide transfer RNA is filed under the name Odocoileus virginianus texanus. It matches the Rfam family "tRNA". From Rfam's summary of the family: Transfer RNA (tRNA) molecules are approximately 80 nucleotides in length. Their secondary structure includes four short double-helical elements and three loops (D, anti-codon, and T loops). Lineage: Eukaryota; Metazoa; Chordata; Mammalia; Artiodactyla; Cervidae. RNAcentral also lists the same sequence under 1 other name. The record is from Rfam by way of RNAcentral.
UCCCUUGUAGCUCAGUCGGUAAAGAAUCUGCCUGCAGUGCAGGAAACCCGGGUUCAAUCCCUGGGUUGGGAA